GUAUAGGCAAUAGAAAUUUUUACCCUGGCACGAUAGACAUAGUACCGUAAGGGAAAGAUGAAAGAACUAUAUCAAGCAUUAAAAAGCAAAGCAAAACCCUUAUACCUUCUGCAUAAUGUAUUAACUAGAAAUAACUUUACACAGAGAACUACGGCCAAGUGUCCCAAAACCAGAUGAACCACCCAAGAACAGCUGAAAGAGCAGACUCACCUAUGUGGCAAAAUAGUAAGAAGAUUGAUAAGUAGUGGUGAUAGCUGGUUGUCCAAGAUGGAAUUUUAGUUCAACUUUAAAUUUACCCACAGAAUUACUUAAUCUUCCUGUAUGUUUAACUGAGUCUAAAAACAGGGACAGCUCUUUAGACAUUAGGAAACAACCUUCCUACAGAGAGUAAAAAAUAUUACCACCAUCGUUGGCCCAAAAGCAGCCACCAAUUAAGAAAGUGUUUAAGCUCAACAUCUAACUAUCUUAAAUUCUAAUCACGCUACUGAACCCCUAACAUCACAUUGGUCUAAUCUAUUACUUAAUAGAAGCAAUAAUGUUAACAUAAGUAAUAUGAAGAUAUUCUCCAUUGUAUAAGCUUACAUCAGACUGGAAUAAUCCACUUACAGUUAGCAGCAUAACAUUAAUAAACAAUAUAAUAAGCACCCUAUUGUUUACACUGUUAACCAACACAGGUAUGCUCUAAGGAAAAAUUACAAAAAGUAAAAGGAACUUGGCAAAUCUUGUCCCGCCUAUUUACCAAAAACAUCACCUCUAGCAUUACCAGUAUUAGAGGCACUGCCUGUCCAGUGACAUAUGUUCGAUGGCCGCAGUAUCCUGACUGUGCAAAGGUAGCAUAAUCACUUGUUCCCUAAAUAGGGACUUAUAUGAAUGGCCACAUGAGGGUUCAGCUGUCUCUUACUUUUAAUCAGUGAAAUUGACGUAUCCAUGAAAAGGCAGAUAUAAACAAAUAAGACGAGAAGACCCUAUGGAACUUUAGUUCAUUAAUACAAGUAAAACUCAAGCCUACAGGCCCUAGCCUACUCCCCCUGCAUUAAAAAUUUUGGUUGAGGUGACCUCAGGGCAUAAUCCAACCUCUGAACAACCUAAACUAAGACCGCACUACUCUAAGUGAAUACACAUUGACCCAAUAAUUUGAUCAAUGGAAUAAGUUAUGCUAGGGAUAACAGUGCAAUCCUAUUCUAGAGUCCAUAGCGACAAUAGGGAUGACUACCUCGAUGCUGAAUCAGGACAUCUUAAUGCUGGAGCCGCUAUUAAGAGUUUGUUUGUUCAACGAUUAAAGUCCUACGUGAUCUGAAUUCAGACCAGAAUAAUCCAGGUCAGUUCCUAUCUAUUUAACAUUUCUCCUAGUAUGA
Homo sapiens (human) is the source of this 1355-nucleotide non-coding RNA. Lineage: Eukaryota; Metazoa; Chordata; Mammalia; Primates; Hominidae. The record is from Rfam.